GACGGAGGAGGCAAGCAUUGUUCGGAAUUAUUGGGCGUAAAGAACACGUAGGCGGUUAUUCAAGUCGAUUGUGAAAACCUUAGGCUUAACUUAAGGAUUGCAUUCGAUACUGGAUAACUGGAGUACAGUAGAGGAAAGUGGAAUUCCUGGUGUAGCGGUGAAAUGCGCAGAUAUCAGGAAGAACACCAGUGGCGAAAGCGGCUUUCUGGACUGUUACUGACGCUGAGGUGUGAAAGCCAGGGGAGCGAACAGGAUUAGAUACCCCGGUAGUCC
RNAcentral lists this ribosomal RNA (273 nucleotides) under uncultured bacterium. RNAcentral describes it as "partial 16S ribosomal RNA". It matches the Rfam family "Bacterial small subunit ribosomal RNA", at positions 524 to 796 of the family's 1533-position model. The record is from RNAcentral.